GAUGUUGGCUUAGAAGCAGCCAUCAUUUAAAGAGUGCGUAAUAGCUCACUAGUCGAGUGACACUGCGCCGAAAAUGUACCGGGGCUAAACAUAUUACCGAAGCUGUGGAUUGUCCUUUGGACAAUGGUAGGAGAGCGUUCUAAGGGCGUCGAAGCAUGAUCGCAAGGACAUGUGGAGCGCUUAGAAGUGAGAAUGCCGGUGUGAGUAGCGAAAGACGGGUGAGAAUCCCGUCCACCGAUUGACUAAGGUUUCCAGAGGAAGGCUCGUCCGCUCUGGGUUAGUCGGGUCCUAAGCUGAGGCCGACAGGCGUAGGCGAUGGAUAACAGGUUGAUAUUCCUGUACCACCUAGUAUCGUUUUAAUCGAUGGGGGGACGCAGUAGGAUAGGCGAAGCGUGCUGUUGGAGUGCACGUCCAAGCAGUAAGGCUGAGUGUUAGGCAAAUCCGGCACUCAUAAGGCUGAGCUGUGAUGGGGAGAGGAAAUUGUUUCCUCGAGUCGUUGAUUUCACACUGCCGAGAAAAGCCUCUAGAUAGAUAACAGGUGCCCGUACCGCAAACCGACACAGGUAGUCAAGAUGAGAAUUCUAAGGUGAGCGAGCGAACUCUCGUUAAGGAACUCGGCAAAAUGACCCCGUAACUUCGGGAGAAGGGGUGCUCUUUAGGGUUCACGCCCAGAAGAGCCGCAGUGAAUAGGCCCAAGCGACUGUUUAUCAAAAACACAGGUCUCUGCUAAACCGUAAGGUGAUGUAUAGGGGCUGACGCCUGCCCGGUGCUGGAAGGUUAAGAGGAGUGGUUAGCUUCUGCGAAGCUACGAAUCGAAGCCCCAGUAAACGGCGGCCGUAACUAUAACGGUCCUAAGGUAGCGAAAUUCCUUGUCGGGUAAGUUCCGACCCGCACGAAAGGCGUAACGAUUUGGGCACUGUCUCAACGAGAGACUCGGUGAAAUCAUAGUACCUGUGAAGAUGCAGGUUACCCGCGACAGGACGGAAAGACCCCGUGGAGCUUUACUGUAGCCUGAUAUUGAAAUUCGGCACAGCUUGUACAGGAUAGGUAGGAGCCUUUGAAACGUGAGCGCUAGCUUACGUGGAGGCGUUGGUGGGAUACUACCCUAGCUGUGUUGGCUUUCUAACCCGCACCACUUAUCGUGGUGGGAGACAGUGUCAGGCGGGCAGUUUGACUGGGGCGGUCGCCUCCUAAAAGGUAACGGAGGCGCUCAAAGGUUCCCUCAGAAUGGUUGGAAAUCAUUCAUAGAGUGUAAAGGCAUAAGGGAGCUUGACUGCGAGACCUACAAGUCGAGCAGGGUCGAAAGACGGACUUAGUGAUCCGGUGGUUCCGCAUGGAAGGGCCAUCGCUCAACGGAUAAAAGCUACCCCGGGGAUAACAGGCUUAUCUCCCCCAAGAGUUCACAUCGACGGGGAGGUUUGGCACCUCGAUGUCGGCUCAUCGCAUCCUGGGGCUGUAGUCGGUCCCAAGGGUUGGGCUGUUCGCCCAUUAAAGCGGUACGCGAGCUGGGUUCAGAACGUCGUGAGACAGUUCGGUCCCUAUCCGUCGUGGGCGUAGGAAAUUUGAGAGGAGCUGUCCUUAGUACGAGAGGACCGGGAUGGACAUACCUCUGGUGUACCAGUUGUCGUGCCAACGGCAUAGCUGGGUAGCUAUGUAUGGACGGGAUAAGUGCUGAAAGCAUCUAAGCAUGAAGCCCCCCUCAAGAUGAGAUUUCCCAACUUCGGUUAUAAGAUCCCUCGAAGAUGACGAGGUUAAUAGGUUCGAGGUGGAAGCGUGGUGACACGUGGAGCUGACGAAUACUAAUCGAUCGAAGACUUAAUCAA
Molecule: ribosomal RNA, 1823 nt
Filed under: human metagenome
Description: bacterial LSU rRNA
Rfam family: Bacterial large subunit ribosomal RNA
Source: RNAcentral